CUAUAUUAGCAUGUCUAUCAUCUCCGCAAUGUGCAUUGGCAUCUGCACGAGAACAUCGCAUUGUGAGUGGUACGCAGUAGAUCGGCGAGUAGCUAGCUAAAGCAGCAUGAACUAUAAUCAGAGUACUAGCCUAUUUCAUUUUUGCUUUGCGUAUCUACAAGCCACACUAGCAUAUUGAUGGUAUUAGCACAUUGAUGGCUUAAUGGAGUAGGAUUCACAUGUUGCCACGUUAGUAUGUUAGCAUGUUUUUUCCCUUCCGGCAGCGACUUCCUGAGAGGCAGUGACGACGUUAACAGAGAACUUCUCUCCGAACUGCUGAGCCUCAACCUCAAGAAGCUGGAGAAGGUGCAGAAGAAUCUUCAAAGACUUUUGGACGAGGCUAUUUAAAGAAUUGUGUCAACAUUUAGACAAAAGUCAUACUUGAAUAUAUGCAGAUGAAGAGACCAAAAAUGCAGUGGACAUUUUGGGAAUUUGGAGCGUUUUCGUAAAAUGACAUUUGUAUUUGGAAUUUGUGAGUUAGGUUGCCAGUAGUUUCCAGAACAAAAAUGCUAAUUUCACCCGUAAUAGCAAAAUCUUUCAAAACUGAUCACUUUGCGGAGGUCUUUAAAUUUUUUUUACUGUGAGUUUUAGCUGUAGAUAUAAUUCACUUGUUUUAAAAUAAUGGCUUGUGUGAUGCGUUUGUCACGUGUCACUUAAAAAGAUUGAGUGACGUUUUGAAAAGAGUCAACUUCCUGUCACUGAUGAUGUCAUCCACAGACCUUUUUCUGAAUGAUGUCAUACAUAUUUUCCAGUUGGCAAUUUCCCACAUUGCACCACCAGUAAACCGACCCUUCUAAGUCUUUGA
Long non-coding RNA from Hippocampus comes (tiger tail seahorse), 844 nucleotides. RefSeq lists it as uncharacterized. Lineage: Eukaryota; Metazoa; Chordata; Actinopteri; Syngnathiformes; Syngnathidae. The transcript has 2 exons. The record is from RefSeq and is a predicted model, not a curated record.